Molecule: ribosomal RNA, 253 nt
Filed under: uncultured bacterium
Lineage: Bacteria
Description: partial 16S ribosomal RNA
Rfam family: Bacterial small subunit ribosomal RNA
Source: RNAcentral
UACGUAGGGUGCGAGCGUUAAUCGGAAUUACUGGGCGUAAAGCGUGCGCAGGCGGUUCGCCGUGUCCGAUGUGAAAGCCCCGGGCUUAACCUGGGAAUGGCAUUGGAAACUGGCGGGCUGGAGUGUGGCAGAGGGGGGUGGAAUUCCACGUGUAGCAGUGAAAUGCGUAGAGAUGUGGAGGAACACCGAUGGCGAAGGCAGCCCCCUGGGCCAACACUGACGCCUCAGGCACGAAGCGUGGGGAGCAAACAGG